Molecule: long non-coding RNA, 1096 nt
Organism: Lates calcarifer (barramundi perch)
Lineage: Eukaryota; Metazoa; Chordata; Actinopteri; Centropomidae
Exons: 3
Source: RefSeq, a predicted model, not a curated record
UUUUAUGAUUGGUUGUAUGUGAACAAGAGAGAAAGUAUAAAUAAAAAGUGAAGCGGUUGUCCAGAGCAGUCCCUUGUCUUGGACACAGUUUUCACAUCAGCUGACACCAGCUUCUGAAGCAACAUCACCGACGCCACCUGAACUGCUGCAGAUUCGGAAGCAGCUGAAUCAACCAUCCAAGAGAGAAAACCAGACCAUCACAACACCAAGAGAAAUACAAGAUGGCUGUUUCAAGAAUUAUAUACCCUGCUGGACUUGGAGAGAACGCCAGGAGACAGUACAAAGAGAAGAUUCUGAUGAAUCAUGCAGAUGUUCUCUUUGAGGACACUAGAGCAGAUGGGUCAAGGUGCAACCUCAUCUUCUUUACUCAUUUUAAAGAAGACUGGGAAACUGUAAUAUGCAAUGCUUAUCCUGGGACCGUGAAAAGUCGACCAGAGGGUAAAAUCAAACUGGAUCUCUCCGACAACAAGGGCACUGUAUGCAUAUUCCCUAGUGGAAAGGUUCUGAUACAAGGUACACCAGAAAACCUUGAAGCAUUUGUAAUCAGUUUUGAAAAGCUACGUGAAGAGAUGCAAACAGAAACAGUAACAAGACUGACAAAAGAAAUGAGGCUUGAAUCCAAUCGUGAAACAGAAUGACAUUCUGAUGAGGCAGGGAUCAAUGUCCAGGGACCAAAGUCCCUCUCCCGAAAUAAAAUAACAGGGAGAAAAGACAAAGCUUAGGUCUGUUUAGCAAGUUCAGACAGACCAGAAAAAAAAACAAACCAUAUGAUCAUUAUGCAGUACAUCACUUCCAAUUAAAGCUUUUUCCCACAAAUUUAUUUCAUGAAUGGGUGACUGGGUUGUAAAAUCAAUCACAUAUUUUUCCUGAUUUGCAUGUGUUGCGUAUGUGUGUCAUACACUGCAUAUCUUUGACAAUUUCUGGUUCUGGUCUUUACAUCCUGUUUUAGAAUGAUGCCACAAUAAUCGAAAAUUUAACAUCACAUGUAAAGGAAAUGUAAUGAUGAUGUAUCUUAUGACUGUAUCUUAUAACCAUAGCACAUUAUAUUCUGUCUGCAAGUUACAGAGGAAUUAAAGAGCAGUCUUGUACUCACUGA